AGUGAACGCUGGCGGUAGGCCUAACACAUGCAAGUCGAACGGCAGCACAGUAAGAGCUUGCUCUUACGGGUGGCGAGUGGCGGACGGGUGAGGAAUACAUCGGAAUCUACUUUUUCGUGGGGGAUAACGUAGGGAAACUUACGCUAAUACCGCAUACGACCUACGGGUGAAAGCAGUGGAUCUUCGCACCUUGCGCGAUUGAAUUAGCCGAUGUCGGAUUAGCUAGUUGGCGGGGUAAAGGCCCACCAAGGCGACGAUCCGUAGCUGGUCUGAGAGGAUGAUCAGCCACACUGGAACUGAGACACGGUCCAGACUCCUACGGGAGGCAGCAGUGGGGAAUAUUGGGCAAUGGGCGCAAGCCUGAUCCAGCCAUACCGCGUGGGUGAAGAAGGCCUUCGGGUUGUAAAGCCCUUUUGUUGGGAAAGAAAAGCAGCAGGUUAAUACCCCGCUGUUCUGACGGUACCCAAAGAAUAAGCACCGGCUAACUUCGUG
RNAcentral lists this ribosomal RNA (492 nucleotides) under uncultured bacterium. RNAcentral describes it as "partial 16S ribosomal RNA". It matches the Rfam family "Bacterial small subunit ribosomal RNA", at positions 29 to 507 of the family's 1533-position model. The record is from RNAcentral.